CCUACGGGAGGCUGCAGUGGGGAAUAUUGCACAAUGGGGGAAACCCUGAUGCAGCGACGCCGCGUGAGUGAAGAAGUAAUUCGUUAUGUAAAGCUCUAUCAGCAGGGAAGAAAAUGACGGUACCUGAGUAAGAAGCCCCGGCUAACUACGUGCCAGCAGCCGCGGUAAUACGUAGGGGGCAAGCGUUAUCCGGAUUGACGGGGUGGAAAGGGAGCGUAGACGGCAGUGCAAGUCUGGAGUGAAAGUCGGGGGCUCAACCCCCGGACUGCUCUGGAAACUGUACGGCUGGAGUGCAGGAGAGGUAAGUGGAAUUCCUAGUGUAGCGGUGAAAUGCGUAGAUAUUAGGAGGAACACCAGUGGCGAAGGCGGCUUACUGGACUGUAACUGACGUUGAGGCUCGAAAGCGUGGGGAGCAAACAGGAUUAGAUACCCGGGUAGUC
This 440-nucleotide ribosomal RNA is filed under the name uncultured bacterium. RNAcentral's name for it is "partial 16S ribosomal RNA". It matches the Rfam family "Bacterial small subunit ribosomal RNA", at positions 338 to 795 of the family's 1533-position model. The record is from RNAcentral.